This 443-nucleotide ribosomal RNA is filed under the name Streptococcus mitis. Its description in RNAcentral is "bacterial SSU rRNA". It matches the Rfam family "Bacterial small subunit ribosomal RNA", at positions 28 to 461 of the family's 1533-position model. Lineage: Bacteria; Bacillati; Bacillota; Bacilli; Lactobacillales; Streptococcaceae. The record is from RNAcentral.
GACGAACGCUGGCGGCGUGCCUAAUACAUGCAAGUAGAACGCUGAAGGAGGAGCUUGCUUCUCUGGAUGAGUUGCGAACGGGUGAGUAACGCGUAGGUAACCUGCCUGGUAGCGGGGGAUAACUAUUGGAAACGAUAGCUAAUACCGCAUAAGAGUAGAUGUUGCAUGACAUUUGCUUAAAAGGUGCAAUUGCAUCACUACCAGAUGGACCUGCGUUGUAUUAGCUAGUUGGUGAGGUAACGGCUCACCAAGGCAACGAUACAUAGCCGACCUGAGAGGGUGAUCGGCCACACUGGGACUGAGACACGGCCCAGACUCCUACGGGAGGCAGCAGUAGGGAAUCUUCGGCAAUGGACGGAAGUCUGACCGAGCAACGCCGCGUGAGUGAAGAAAGGUUUUCGGAUCGUAAAAGCUCUGUUGUAAAGAGAAAGAAACGAAGUGUG